UACGUAGGGUGCGAGCGUUAAUCGGAAUUACUGGGCGUAAAGUGUGCGCAGGCGGCCGCGCAAGUCGAGAGUGAAAGCCCCGGGCUUAACUUGGGAAUUGCGCUCGAAACUACGUGGCUGGAGUGUGGCAGAGGAAGGUGGAAUUCCACGUGUAGCGGUGAAAUGCGUAGAGAUGUGGAGGAACACCAAUGGCGAAGGCAGCCUUCUGGGCCAACACUGACGCUCAUGCACGAAAGCGUGGGGAGCAAACAGG
This 253-nucleotide ribosomal RNA is filed under the name uncultured bacterium. Its description in RNAcentral is "partial 16S ribosomal RNA". It matches the Rfam family "Bacterial small subunit ribosomal RNA", at positions 524 to 776 of the family's 1533-position model. The record is from RNAcentral.